ACACCGGCAGCUCUAGUGGUAGCAGUUUUUAUUGGGCCUAAAGCGUCCGUAGCCGGUUUAAUAAGUCUCUGGUGAAAUCCUGUAGCUUAACUGUGGGAAUUGCUGGAGAUACUAUUAGACUUGAGACCGGGAGAGGUUAGAGGUACUCCCAGGGUAGAGGUGAAAUUCUGUAAUCCUGGGAGGACCGCCUGUUGCGAAGGCGUCUAACUGGAACGGUUCUGACGGUGAGGGACGAAAGUUAGGGGCGCGAACCGGAUUAGAUACCCGGGUAGUCCUAACUGUAAACGAUGCGGACUUGGUGUUGGGGUGGCUUUGAGCUGCUCCAGUGCCGAAGGGAAGCUGUUAAGUCCGCCGCCUGGGAAGUACGGUCGCAAGACUGAAACUCGAAUGAAUUGGCGGGG
RNAcentral lists this ribosomal RNA (401 nucleotides) under uncultured bacterium. RNAcentral's name for it is "partial 16S ribosomal RNA". It matches the Rfam family "Archaeal small subunit ribosomal RNA", at positions 473 to 873 of the family's 1478-position model. The record is from RNAcentral.